GGAUUGUUGUCUGGUUCAAGG
Molecule: microRNA, 21 nt
Filed under: Oryza sativa (Asian cultivated rice)
Lineage: Eukaryota; Viridiplantae; Streptophyta; Magnoliopsida; Poales; Poaceae
Also listed under: 1 other name
Description: osa-miR166l-5p
Gene: osa-miR166l-5p
Source: miRBase by way of RNAcentral